AUACGGAGGAUGCGAGCGUUAUCCGGAUUUAUUGGGUUUAAAGGGUGCGUAGGCGGUCGGGUAAGCGUAGGGUGAAAGUCCUCUGCUCAACAGAGGAAGUGCCUUCCGAACUGUCCGACUGGAAUGCUCCUGCCGUGGGAGGAAUGUGUGGUGUAGCGGUGAAAUGCAUAGAGAUCACACAGAACACCGAUUGCGAAGGCAUCUCACGAAGGGGCUAUUGACGCUGAGGCACGAAAGCGUGGGGAUCAAACAGGAUUAGAUACCCUGGUAGUCCACGCAGUAAACGAUGAUGACUAACCGUCGGUCAAGACUGAUCGGUGGCCAAGCGAAAGCGAUAAGUCAUCCACCUGGGGAGUACGACCGCAAGGUUGAAACUCAAAUGAAUUGGCGGG
RNAcentral lists this ribosomal RNA (392 nucleotides) under uncultured bacterium. RNAcentral describes it as "partial 16S ribosomal RNA". It matches the Rfam family "Bacterial small subunit ribosomal RNA", at positions 523 to 917 of the family's 1533-position model. The record is from RNAcentral.